RNAcentral lists this unclassified non-coding RNA (278 nucleotides) under uncultured fungus. RNAcentral's name for it is "partial contains 18S rRNA, ITS1, 5.8S rRNA, ITS2 and 28S rRNA". Lineage: Eukaryota; Fungi. The record is from RNAcentral.
AAGGAUCAUUAUUGAAUAAACUUGGUUGGGUUGUUGCUGGCUCUCUGGAGCAAGUGCACGCCUAGCGCCAUUUUUAACCACCUGUGCACUUAUUGUAGACCUUGGAUAUCACUCGAGGAAACUCGGUUUGAGGACUGCUGUGCGAAAGCCAGCUUGCCUUACAUUUCCAGGUCUAUGUUUUUAAUAUACCCCCAAUGAAUGUUACAGAAUGUCUUUUAUUUGGCCUUUUAGUGCCUUUAAAUCAAAUACAACUUUCAACAACGGAUCUCUUGGCUCUC